RNAcentral lists this ribosomal RNA (421 nucleotides) under uncultured bacterium. Its description in RNAcentral is "partial 16S ribosomal RNA". It matches the Rfam family "Bacterial small subunit ribosomal RNA", at positions 360 to 773 of the family's 1533-position model. The record is from RNAcentral.
AAUAUUGGACAAUGGGGGCAACCCUGAUCCAGCCAUGCCGCGUGUGUGAAGAAGGUCUUCGGCUUNUCAAGCACUUUAAGUUGGGANGAAGGGCUUUAGGUUAAUACCCUGAAGUUUUGACGUUACCAACAGAAUAAGCACCGGCUAACUCUGUGCCAGCAGCCGCGGUAAUACAGAGGGUGCAAUCGUUAAUCGGAAUUACUGGGCGUAAAGCGCGCGUUGGUGGUUCAGGAAGACGGGUGUGAAAACCCCGGGCUUAACCUGGGAACAGCGUUCAUAACUGCUGCGCUAGAGUACGGUAGAGGGUAGUGGAAUUUCCUGUGUAGCGGUGAAAUGCGUAGAUAUAGGAAGGAACACCAGUGGCGAAGGCGACUACCUGGACUGAUACUGACACUGAGGUGCGAAAGCGUGGGGAGCAAAC